RNAcentral lists this ribosomal RNA (1906 nucleotides) under human gut metagenome. RNAcentral's name for it is "bacterial LSU rRNA". It matches the Rfam family "Bacterial large subunit ribosomal RNA", at positions 467 to 2397 of the family's 2925-position model. The record is from RNAcentral.
UAAAUACUCCCGAGAGACCGAUAGCGAACCAGUACUGUGAAGGAAAGGUGAAAAGAACCUCGAACAGAGGAGUGAAACAGACCCUGAAACCAUGCGCCUACAAGCGGUCGGAGCAUGUUAAAGUGUGACGGCGUGCCUUUUGCAUAAUGAACCUACGAGUUACUCUCGCUGGCAAGGUUAAGCGAUUCAGUCGCGCAGCCGAAGCGAAAGCAAGUCCGAACAAGGCGUACAGUCAGCGGGAGUAGACGCGAAACCAAGUGAUCUACCCUUGGUCAGGUUGAAGGUUGGGUAACACCAACUGGAGGACCGCACCGAUAAGCGUUGAAAAGCUUACGGAUGAACUGAGGGUAGGAGUGAAAGGCCAAUCAAACUUGGAGAUAGCUCGUACUCCCCGAAAUGCAUUUAGGUGCAGCCUCGAAGCAGAGUGAUAGAGGUAGAGCGACUGAUAAGAUGCGAGGGCUUCACCGCCUAUCAAGUCUUGACAAACUCCGAAUACUAUCACUUGGUCUUCGGGAGUGAGGGCAUGGGUGCUAAGGUCCAUGUCCGAAAGAGGAACAACUCAGACCACCGGCUAAGGUCCCGAAAUAAGGGCUAAGUUGAACAAACGAAGUAAAACUGCAAAGACAGCUAGGAUGUUGGCUUGGAAGCAGCCAUUCAUUUAAAGAGUGCGUAACAGCUCACUAGUCGAGGAGUUUUGCAUGGAUAAUAAUCGGGCAUAAGCCCUUUACCGAAGCUGUGGAUGUCGCAAGACAUGGUAGGGGAGCAUUCCGGCGGCGACGAAGGCCGUCCUCGAGGACGACUGGAGCUCCCGGAAAAGCAAAUGUAGGUAUAAGUAACGAUAAAGGGGGCGCGAAACCCCCUCGCCAUAAGACUAAGGAUUCCUGAUCAACGCUAAUCGGAUCAGGGUAAGUCGGGCCCUAAGGCGCAGCCGAACGGCGCAGCCGAUGGAAGAAACGGUAAAGAUUCCGUUACUGGAUAUAGGAGCGAUGUGGAGACGGAGAAGUGACACACCCGCCUGCCGACGGAAGCGCAGGUUAAAGGAAGUAGGUAAACGCCGGGUAGGCAAAUCCGCCCAGCGUGCCGAAACUGACAGUAUCGAGAGCCCCCGGGCAAUCGAAUAGCGGUGGUAAUCAGGCUCCCAAGAAAAUCCGCUAAGCAUAUUCUAUAUCCACCCGUACCCCAAACGGACACACGUAGUCGGGUAGAAUAUACCAAGGCGCUCGAAAGACUCACGGUUAAGGAACUAGGCAAAUUGACCCUGUAACCUCGGGAAAAAGGGUCCCCAGUAAGAUGGGGCGCAGAGAAUAGGUCCAGGCAACUGUUUAACAAAAACACAGGGCUGUGCAAAAUUUCAAGAUGAAGUAUACAGCCUGACACCUGCCCGGUGCCGGAAGGUUAAGAGGAGAGCUUAUCGCAAGAGAAGGCUUGAAUUGAAGCCCCGGUAAACGGCGGCCGUAACUAUAACGGUCCUAAGGUAGCGAAAUUCCUUGUCGGGUAAGUUCCGACCUGCACGAAUGGUGUAAUGAUCUGGACACUGUCUCAACCGUGACUUCGGUGAAAUUGUAGUAUCGGUGAAGAUGCCGAUUACCCGCAACGGGACGAAAAGACCCCGUGAACCUUUACUGCAACUUAGCAUUGCGUUUGGGCAUUUGAUGUGUAGGAUAGUCCGGAGGCUACGAGUCGGCGACGCCAGUCGUCGAGGAGCCGCUGUUGAAAUACGGACCUUCGAAUGUUUGAGCGCUAACUCGCUGUAGCGAGGACACUGUUUGGUGGGUAGUUUGACUGGGGUGGUCGCCUCCAAAAGCGUAACGGAGGCUUCUAAAGGUGCCCUCAGACCGAUUGGUAACCGGUCGCAGAGUGUAAUGGCAUAAGGGCGCUUGACUGGGAGACAUACAAGUCGAUCAGG